RNAcentral lists this ribosomal RNA (585 nucleotides) under uncultured bacterium. RNAcentral's name for it is "bacterial SSU rRNA". It matches the Rfam family "Bacterial small subunit ribosomal RNA", at positions 338 to 916 of the family's 1533-position model. The record is from RNAcentral.
CCUACGGGAGGCAGCAGUGGGGAAUUUUGGACAAUGGGCGAAAGCCUGACCCAGCAACGCCGCGUGAAGGAUGAAGCUUUUCGGAGUGUAAACUUCAUAAGAAUGGGAGGAAUAAGUGUGGGAUAAUACCCUUCACGAUGACGGUACCAUUUGUAAGCUCCGGCUAACUCCGUGCCAGCAGCCGCGGUAAUACGGGGGGAGCAAGCGUUGUUCGGAUUUACUGGGCGUAAAGGGCGCGUAGGCGGCGCGACAAGUCACUUGUGAAAUCUCUGGGCUCAACCCUGAACGGUCAAGUGAUACUGUCGUGCUAGAGUGCGGAAGGGGCAACUGGAAUUCUUGGUGUAGCGGUGGAAUGCGUAGAUAUCAAGAGGAACACCUGCGGCGAAGGCGGGUUGCUGGGCCGACACUGACGCUGAGGCGCGAAAGCCAGGGGAGCGAACGGGAUUAGAUACCCCGGUAGUCCUGGCCCUAAACGAUGAAUGCUUGGUGUCCGGGGUUAGAUAGUCCUCGGGUGCCGUCGCUAACGCUUUAAGCAUUCCGCCUGGGGAGUACGUGCGCAAGCAUGAAACUCAAAGGAAUUGACGG